This 236-nucleotide ribosomal RNA is filed under the name Clostridioides difficile. RNAcentral describes it as "partial 16S ribosomal RNA". It matches the Rfam family "Bacterial small subunit ribosomal RNA", at positions 1 to 244 of the family's 1533-position model. Lineage: Bacteria; Bacillati; Bacillota; Clostridia; Peptostreptococcales; Peptostreptococcaceae. The record is from RNAcentral.
UUUUAUUUGAGAGUUUGAUCCUGGCUCAGGAUGAACGCUGGCGGCGUGCCUAACACAUGCAAGUUGAGCGAUUUACUUCGGUAAAGAGCGGCGGACGGGUGAGUAACGCGUGGGUAACCUACCCUGUACACACGGAUAACAUACCGAAAGGUAUGCUAAUACGGGAUAAUAUAUUUGAGAGGCAUCUCUUGAAUAUCAAAGGUGAGCCAGUACAGGAUGGACCCGCGUCUGAUUAG